This 6583-nucleotide long non-coding RNA is filed under the name Linum usitatissimum (flax). Its description in RNAcentral is "long non-coding RNA (LUSI_LNC002397)". Lineage: Eukaryota; Viridiplantae; Streptophyta; Magnoliopsida; Malpighiales; Linaceae. The record is from RNAcentral.
AUAAUCGCCUCAAACCGUAAGGAGAACAUGUGAAUUUUAUUUUGUCUACCCUCUCUCAGUCUCGCGUCAGUCCCUUCAGUGAACAAACGAGGUCGUCGGUCUUUACGCUGAAACUGAAAUCCUACGAUCGGAGAAGAUGAUCUACAGAAAGUGGAGUCUGCUCACCGGUCCGACGGCCAUUAUUGGUGGUAUAGUCGGAGCCACCAUCGUCGCCAACUACCUUUUCAUCCAGAAUGUAAACUUCCUUCCUCCUUCCGCUCUUCUUUCCAUUUCCCAGCCCUAGAUUUACUUUAAUGCGUCCGCUGUCGCUUUUCUUCAUUUCAAUUUGAGUUCUCCUUUUUUUUUCAAGCUCUGGUUAUUAGCUUGGACAGUUUCUGCGAGCGAUCUCUCUUUCCUUCGGUUGUUAAUUCCAAAACCCCUAUUUGUUUCAGGCCUAGUGUUUGAAGUGUUUUGUGCUUUAGCCAUGUUGAAAUGGAAUGGCCUUUUCUUUGCAAAUGUGCAGGAUUGGCUUGUGAAACAAGACCCGAAGAAGAAGCCAGAUUCUUCAGUAGCAUCAACCAAAUAAGUUUGAACAGUGACGGUACUGUUGUUAAGCCUUCUCCUUUUGGUGAACUGUUUGUUGAUUUUGCUUCCCCUAGACAUGUGAGUCUGAUUUAUUUUAAAGUUUGGAAUGUCACCGACCUUUUCUCCAGUGGAAUGAAUAAUAAGAAGAUGGAUAUUGUAGAUGAGUGUUUCUGCUCUUUCCUUUGAUCAAUAAUUAAAGUGCUUAGUUGGUUUUCGUUUACAGAGCUAUACAACUCUUUUUUCAUGAAUAGGCGCAUAAAUCUAACCUCAAGUUGCUUAAUCCCAAGGUUUGUGAUAAGAAAUGUUGUAAUUUUUUGUGCUCUUGCUACCGUUGAGUGAUCAUGUUUGGAUAAUUCACCCAACCCACCCCACUGUGGCUAUAAUGUCUUGAAGUUCUUUGUAAAAUUGUAAAGUUUGCUCAACUCAUUUGCAGUUUUAUAAUGUUCCUCGCCAACAUUCUCUAGUUAGAGCGACUGUUAGGAUUCAGCGAAUGUAGCAAGCUUAGUUUGUGGUGAGCUGGGUUUUCAAUAUGUUUAGAGAGUGCUUUAAAUCACGCAGCUGCUAGAAAUCCGAAUUCGCAUUCAUGGCUCACUUUUGGAAUUAAGGAUGGCGGUAUAUGUGAUUGACUAUGACACUGAUUGAGUAUGACACUGCAUUCCGUUAUCUCCCUAUUCAUGCCAUCUCUUUUAGCAUCCAUCUCCUUCGUCAAUUCAUGCCUGGGCAAGCACCAAAAGCAAUUAUUUCGACCUUUUUUACAUUCUUGUCUUUUGUUUUUCCGAAAUCUUAAUACUGCCUUGCAUGUAUGGGUUAUCCAGCGGAUAGCCUUGUAUAUGUUCAGAACAGAUCAGAUUGCAGUAGCCUUCUUUAAUGCUUCCAGUUGAAGGGUUCUCAUGUUCGAGUCUCUGAAUCAAUUCAACACUGAUCCUGACCUUCUUUGGAGUUGGAGGGAUCCCUCUUUGACUUCUACUGCAGAUCCCUCAACUCUUGAUUUGAUUCUCAAGCGAUCUGAUUUGGACUUAACUCCAAUACCUGCAAUUGUUUAUGGCGAUAUUUUCUGUAUGGUUGAGUUGCUGAUAUUCAUGAUUACAUAGAUUGGACGUAAAUUCUAUGCAUAUUAUAAGUUGUUAUUAACCAUGAAGUGGAAGAUGAGUGGUCGAUGGAUUGAAGAGAUUUGAAAGUAUAGCUAUAUUUUCUGUGUUCAACUGCUGCUACCAGCAAGCAAGCAAACAAGAAGAAAGAAGUGGAAGAUGAGUCUCGUUACGCAUCAUAGAAAUAGAGCAACAGGCAAAUACUCCAUCCACUUCUCCAAGGACUUCUCUUACACGCUCAUUUUUCCAGCAACUUUCCGCACAUUCCAACCAGUUUUCAUAAACAUUUUUCUUUUUUGCGACGUUUGGUUCAUGCUUAUUUCGAUGACAUUUCAUAUGUAGUAUACUACGGAACCUAUUGCGUACAUAUGCACAUAAUUUUGUACUUGUGUAUGUACGGUUUACAUACUCUCCAUGUACAUGAGCACAAUACAAACGGCGAACUUGCUUUUGUACUCGUUUUCUGUAGAAGUUUCACAUUUUGUCCAUGUGUACAUCCCUUUGUACACAUGUACACACUUUCCGUAUUUCCAUAUAGGUUCACAUGUACACAUUUCUGAGUACGAUGCAAGGUGAUGGUGACCUUUUUGUACUCGUUUUUAUACAUAUUCGCUUUUCUAAGUGAUGCAUCUUAGACAGGGAGGAGGAGCUGGGUGCGAUAGGGUAGGGAGAGCAGCGGCUGGUCUGGAGCGACGGAGAUAUUGAGACACAAUGGUUCAGCUAAUUAUAAAAUAAAAAUUUAAUAUCCAACUUACCCCUCUCGAUUUUUGUCCUUGAAAUCAUUGAAUUAGGUUCUAAACUUAAUUUGAUCCAUAAGUAACGUUGAUAAUUCCAAUGUCUGGGUGACGAAUUAACCAAUAAAAAAAGCAUCGUACACGUCGUACUAAAAGUUCGUUCUGAUCGAUAACUGAUAAUUGUGUUCCAUAUAUGCCUGCGGCUGCCUGUAUUGUCUGUUUCCCUCAACCCCAACAAAUAAAACCACCUCUUCUUCCCACUAAAUAAACAGAGGAGCCCUGAAUAUUGUCAGCUCACCGCAAUUCCUCAACAACAACACAGCAAGAUAUCGAUGAACGGUGCCACGUGUACGGUGGCUGAUGCGCCGGCAGGAUCUCCUAAUAAGCCGACUACGGCAGGGUCUCCCAACGUUGGUAAGGAAAGAUCAAGCGGUGGCAGGUCGGGAGAAGCUCUUGAUCGGAAUCCUUCAGUAUUUCAGAUGCCAGUACAUUACCCUCGUUACAGCCGAGCAGAGUACGAGACGAUGGCCGAGUGGAAGCUUGAUUGCUUGCUUAAAGCCUACGGCUUGCCCGUCGCCGGAGAUGUUAAGAAUAAGCGCAGCUUUGCAAUCGGAGCUUUUCUUUGGCCUCUCAGUUACUGAAUAGAAUGGAAUUGCUGAUGAUCACUAAUGUUGUUAAUUAAACUACGUACAUAGCUCUGUGCAUGUGUUAAUGUUAAUAAAUAAUGAAGACGGAUUCAUGAAUUUUAUUUGUUGGGUUUGAUCAAUUGCUUUGUUUGUUCAAUAAAUAAUAAUAAUAUAUACCAACCACUGUUUCUAAAUCUCACCACAAGGUUGAUGAUGAGUUUUCGUACCCUUUCAAGUCUGAGAAACAGCAAAUUUAUCUAUGGAAUUACAUCCUACUUAGAACGAAUGGAUCAAAUUACUCUCAGAUGCACCAAAUUCAGAUACAUCUUUCCUUGCUGAAUGUGUCAAAUCAACCCUAAACCUAAACAAAACACACGAACUGUAAAACAGCACUGCAACUAACAUCGAUAUACCGUUUUGGAUGGACGAUCCUUUUUCGUCCAUUUACUAUCGCAUUUACCAGCUCCUUCUCCUCUGCAACACGACGAUAGUUUAGGGGCCUCAAAACACAGAGCAAGGAGGACAGGCUGCUGAAUUGCUCACCAGCAAAGCUAUCUAUCUUAUCUCGUCAUGGAUGGCAUUGGCAGGCAGAGUCUGGAAACCAGUAAAGCAGUCCACUCGCCCCUUAGCAAAUAUCUCAAUCUUGGUAUCUUUGCUGCAACGUGUGUUUAACUACUUCGUAGAAGGAUACAACUAUUCCAACAGAAGGACCUGCACGAGCUACACGAGGCCCCACUCCCAUGAACAGCCCCUUCACUCUCCCAUCCCUGUACCAUAUGACCCCUAAAUUAUGCUCUGUUCGCUGAUGAACAUCUGCCCGGUUAGCGGACAAAGCAUGUUUUAUGUGCAUUACUUCACAGACACUGAAUUAUAGGAUGAAUCAAGUGUAAGUUUGAAACAUACCUCCAAAUUUCUCGCAAGGUUUGGACUGUAGUCAUACUUGUAGCUCUACUCGGAUCCUUCUGCAACCACAACUACCAUUAUUAGAUAAAAUAAUAACACAUGCUAGUUACCUCAAUCUGCAUCUCAAAUACUAGGUUGAGCUUAAUCUGCUUUCAUACAUGAUGGAGUUACCUCAAUCUGUCUUCUUGUCUUCGCCACAUCUAGUGGGCAAGUAGCUGCAGCUGCAAAGGUCCCAGCAAUGAAACCAGCAGAAAAAUUUGCACCUACUACACUGGUUACACCAUUUUUAUCAUCCAUCAUAGAAAGAACUUGCCUCCUUAUCUGAAGGAAAACCAACUAGAUAUCAAUGUACAUGUCAUAUCAAAAGUUUCUUGGAGAUCUAUAUCAGUUCUCUGUGAUGUAACAAACUCACCGGCUCUAGGGCUGCCCAGCAAAUUGCAGAAAAGGGAACAUCUCGAGCAAUUUGUGCUCCAAGACCAGUCCACAAGAUACGAUAACUUAGAACUGCUGCUAUUAAGUAACAUAAUAACAGUAGUUUAACAUCAGUAAGGCAUAUUUAGAUAUCAUGAAUUCCAGCUAUUCCGUUUUGAUCCCUGGUCAAUCUAUGUGGGAGAGAAGAAAAAAUAACUACUAAUAGUUGAGAAGCAAUACAAUUUUGGAAGUUAUUUGCGCUCCUGGCAGGCUGAACAGCCUCAAUCAGGGUUCUCAAUACUCCUGGCGGCUUCACUCCACUUUGUACUUCAUUGAACGCCUGAUGUAAAGUAAAAGGGGAAUAGCAGGAUAUUUGAAUGUGAUACCAUAAAGAAUUGUCUCGGUGGACGUCAACAUAGAAGCAAAUGAUGAAGUUCUACCAAAUAAAUACUUUAUCCUGAAGGAGGUUCCAUAAAUUAAAUUGGGAUAUCAGAUUAGGCGAUUAACCAGUUCUUCAGAUACAUAUUUUGGACAGAGAGCUUAAGGAACUACAGUGAUUGUAAUAUGUCUUCAUGCAAGACAAAAGUUUAUUUUACACUGUUUCUAUAAACGUUAUUCUCCAAAGAAACAUGCGUUUGCACGAUCAGCUAAGAAAUUCAGUAAAUUUGCAAAUGCUACGUGUGAGAUCAAUUUCACAGUAACUGAAAUUCUUACAUUAAACUCGAUAAUCUAAAUAAUGUAGAAUAUCUGAAAAUCUAAACCAGCACGAAAUCAUUCCAAGAACCAGUCAACUCGAAUAUGCACGAAGGUAGAAACUACCUGCAUGCGGGUCCUUGCCAACUCCACUGGAUAACAAGUAACACAGGCUAAGGAGCGUGCAACUGACCCAGCAAUUAAUGGGACAUAUGGAACUAAGGCUGGCGAAUGUUGAUGCGUGAACUCUUCCAUUAAGUUCCUCAAAAUGUCAUAACAAGGCAAGUAGAUCCCCACCUGGUUGAAAGAAGGUCAAAAACAGAAUAGCAUAAAACUUAGCCUGAAAGUAAAUACAGGUGUCUAGAGCAAAACACACUGAUUUAAGGUAGAAAGACUAACAGUAGGUACAGCCAAAGCCAAACUUGCAUUCGUGCCUCUCCACAAUCUUCCAAAUCCUUCCUGCAUAAAUUCAUAGCUUCCCUGUGAGUAUUCACAUAUUUUCAUUCAACUUCUGACAAAUCCGCCUAUCGACAACCAGGAGAAGUCCAAGGUACUCGUGAAAAAUAUGUCUAUAGUAUAGCUGCAUAUUUUUAAAUCUAGGGAAUCAGUUUUCAUAGUUCUGUUCCAUAUGUUGAAAGAACCCGACAAUCACAGAAUCAGUUUUCGAGAUGCAUUGGAUUUUAAAAAGCAUUCCAAUUAGACAAAUCAACCAACCUGGCGUACAACUUUGUAGAAGACAUCCAAUGUGCCAUUGUACCUGUUACAUCCUGUACAUAGUGGUUUUGAGCCAGGAACUGGAAGCUGUCGCGCCGCUGGAGAUCUACUGUUGGAAAGUAUCUGAAACUUACCACAAAUGACAAAAAAAGAGAGAGGAUUUAAUUUAUGGCCACCAUAUUAGACCAACAAAGCACAAUGUAGCUCAGAAAAUUCAAGUGCUAAUAUAGAAAUGAAACCCCGAAAAUAGUAAUGGAGAGCAGCUUAAGAAUACCUUAUUUGCAUCCAAGCAUUCUGGCCUACAAAUACCCUCAUAAGGAACUCCAGCAGCCUGCGCUUGCAAUCUUGUCUACAAACGAGAAAAAUCGGAAAGUAAUCCAUCAAAUCCGAGAGACCGAUUUCAGAAGAUUAAAAAACUGAACAGGUUAACAAGAUCAUGCUAUGGAAUGAGAAUAGGAUAGGACCUGAUUCGAGUAUUCAAAAUUCUGCAAUUCAACUCUUGAGUUAUUUUUGUGUUUGGCUACGAAACAAAGAAAAUUUAGGGGAAGUACCUUGGCGACGUCAAGAGGAUUAACAAUGAUGGCGGAGAUAACAGCGGAACCGGCUGCAGCGAAAGCCCUCUCCCCGAAUCCCAAACGGACAUCCGAGGAAGAUGAUGAUGAUGAUGAAACGUCGGAAUCGUCAACAAUGGAGGCUGAAAUCAUCUUAUCGAAGACGUUGAUGUCGAGAGGAGGGGGUAGUGGUGGCUGCUUUGGGCGCUACCGAGGUGAAGGAGGAGGAAGAAGAAGGGCAGCUCUGUCUCCAACCAUGUACCACGAAUUCAAACAGCUAUCGCGGGAGAGAUGCAGAA